Molecule: ribosomal RNA, 253 nt
Filed under: uncultured bacterium
Lineage: Bacteria
Description: partial 16S ribosomal RNA
Rfam family: Bacterial small subunit ribosomal RNA
Source: RNAcentral
UACGUAGGCAGCGAGCGUUGUUCGGAGUUACUGGGCGUAAAGCGUGCGUAGGCGGUGGUCCAAGUCUGGUGUGAAAUCUCCCGGCUCAACUGGGAGGGUGCGCCGGAAACUGGGCCGCUGGAGUAUGGGAGAGGCAAGCGGAAUUCCAGGUGUAGCGGUGAAAUGCGUAGAUAUCUGGAGGAACACCCGUGGUGCAGACGGCUUGCUGGACCAUUACUGACGCUGAGGCACGAAAGCGUGGGUAGCAAACAGG